RNAcentral lists this ribosomal RNA (468 nucleotides) under uncultured bacterium. RNAcentral describes it as "partial 16S ribosomal RNA". It matches the Rfam family "Bacterial small subunit ribosomal RNA", at positions 28 to 507 of the family's 1533-position model. The record is from RNAcentral.
GACGAACGCUGGCGGCGUGCUUAACACAUGCAAGUCGAACGGAAAGGCCCUGCUUUUGUGGGGUGCUCGAGUGGCGAACGGGUGAGUAACACGUGAGUAACCUGCCCUUGACUUUGGGAUAACUUCAGGAAACUGGGGCUAAUACCGGAUAGGAGCUCCUGCUGCAUGGUGGGGGUUGGAAAGUUUCGGCGGUUGGGGAUGGACUCGCGGCUUAUCAGCUUGUUGGUGGGGUAGUGGCUUACCAAGGCUUUGACGGAUAGCCGGCCUGAGAGGGUGACCGGCCACAUUGGGACUGAGAUACGGCCCAGACUCCAACGGGAGGCAGCAGUGGGGAAUAUUGCACAAUGGGCGGAAGCCUGAUGCAGCAACGCCGCGUGCGGGAUGACGGCCUUCGGGUUGUAAACCGCUUUCGCCUGUGACGAAGCGUGAGUGACGGUAAUGGGUAAAGAAGCACCGGCUAACUACGUG